CCCUUAGUUUCCGUCUUAUAUAAAUUUUUUUUAUAAUUAGUAUUUUCAUUGUUGUUAGAUGAUAAAACAUGAUUAAUACUUUAUACGUGACUUAUCUUUUUAAUUUUUUUUUAUAUUUUUUUCAAAUAAGACGGACGUUGGACACGAAAAUUCAGG
This 156-nucleotide microRNA precursor is filed under the name Oryza nivara. RNAcentral's name for it is "MIR812 microRNA precursor family". It matches the Rfam family "MIR812 microRNA precursor family", at positions 27 to 193 of the family's 205-position model. The record is from Rfam by way of RNAcentral. Lineage: Eukaryota; Viridiplantae; Streptophyta; Magnoliopsida; Poales; Poaceae.